CCUCCUUAAAAUAAAAAUCGUCUGAGGUAGGCGUUCACACGAAUUAUUUGUUUUACCCAAAUUAGUUUUUUACUAAGAGUACGGUGAGUUUUUUAACAUUUUUAUAAGUUCAAUCAAGUCGCAUUAAUUAAAUCAUUUAUGUGGUUUAAAUUAAUGUGCAAAUGUCACCAAAUCCGUCGUGUUUUUAUAAAUACAUUUAUUUGGUGAACAUACUGCAAAGUAAUUUUGGCGUUAUGUAAUAUAGAUAUACUUGAAAGAUCUUUAUAUCAGGCAUUAAAUUGCUUGAUGUAAUAUGGUCAAGUAACUAAGCGCAUACGGUGG
This 321-nucleotide unclassified non-coding RNA is filed under the name uncultured marine bacterium 311. RNAcentral describes it as "partial 16S-23S ribosomal RNA intergenic spacer". The record is from RNAcentral.